Molecule: non-coding RNA, 121 nt
Organism: Picea glauca (white spruce)
Lineage: Eukaryota; Viridiplantae; Streptophyta; Pinopsida; Pinales; Pinaceae
Source: Rfam
GUACAUGCCUAUAACAAAGCGUUAAUGCAUUGGAUCCCAUUAGAACUCUGCAGUUAAGCGCGCUUGAGCUAGAGUAAUAUUGGGAUGGGUGAUCGCUCGAAAAUGCCUAGUGUUUUACAUG